GGUCAAGCAUUAAGAGCGCAGGGUGGAUGCCUUGGCACUGAGAGCCGAUGAAGGACGUGAUAAGCUGCGAAAAGCUUCGGGGAGGAGCAAAUAUCCAUUGAUCCGGAGAUAUCCGAAUGGGGAAACCCACUUGAGCAAACCUCAAGUAUCCAUACGCCAAUCCAUAACGUAUGGAAGGGAACCGGGGGAACUGAAACAUCUAAGUACCCCGAGGAGAAGAAAGAAACCUCGAUUUCCAAAGUAGCGGCGAGCGAAAUGGAAAGAGCCCAAACCGUGGUGCGUGCACCGCGGGGUUGUGGACUGCAUAAGGUACUCGAAUCAAUAGCCGAACAGUUUUGGGAAAUCUGAUCAGAGAGGGUGAAAAUCCCGUAGGCGAAAUUGAUGAGAGGCUGGCAGGAUC
RNAcentral lists this ribosomal RNA (400 nucleotides) under Fusicatenibacter saccharivorans. Its description in RNAcentral is "partial 23S ribosomal RNA". It matches the Rfam family "Bacterial large subunit ribosomal RNA", at positions 1 to 407 of the family's 2925-position model. The record is from RNAcentral. Lineage: Bacteria; Bacillati; Bacillota; Clostridia; Lachnospirales; Lachnospiraceae.